This 72-nucleotide transfer RNA is filed under the name Camelus dromedarius (Arabian camel). It matches the Rfam family "tRNA". Rfam says of the family: Transfer RNA (tRNA) molecules are approximately 80 nucleotides in length. Lineage: Eukaryota; Metazoa; Chordata; Mammalia; Artiodactyla; Camelidae. The record is from Rfam by way of RNAcentral. RNAcentral also lists the same sequence under 1 other name.
GAGGAUCUAGCUCAAGUGUUAGAGCACAUGCUUAACAUGCAUGAGUUCCUGGGUUCAAUCUCCAGUACCUCC